RNAcentral lists this ribosomal RNA (645 nucleotides) under uncultured bacterium. Its description in RNAcentral is "bacterial SSU rRNA". It matches the Rfam family "Bacterial small subunit ribosomal RNA", at positions 201 to 847 of the family's 1533-position model. The record is from RNAcentral.
UUAAAGGUAUUUUCCGGUAGACGAUGGGGAUGCGUUCCAUUAGAUAGUCGGAGGGGUAACGGCCCACCUAGUCAACGAUGGAUAGGGGUUCUGAGAGGAAGGUCCCCCACAUUGGAACUGAGACACGGUCCAAACUCCUACGGGAGGCAGCAGUGAGGAAUAUUGGUCAAUGGGCGAUGGCCUGAACCAGCCAAGUAGCGUGAAGGAUGACUGCCCUAUGGGUUGUAAACUUCUUUUAUAAAGGAAUAAAGUCGGGUAUGCAUACCCGUUUGCAUGUACUUUAUGAAUAAGGAUCGGCUAACUCCGUGCCAGCAGCCGCGGUAAUACGGAGGAUCCGAGCGUUAUCCGGAUUUAUUGGGUUUAAAGGGGGCGUAGAUGGAUGUUUAAGUCAGUUGUGAAAGUUUGCGGCUCAACCGUAAAAUUGCAGUUGAUACUGGAUGUCUUGAGUGCAGUUGAGGCAGGCGGAAUUCGUGGUGUAGCGGUGAAAUGCUUAGAUAUCACGAAGAACUCCGAUUGCGAAGGCAGCCUGCUAAGCUGCAACUGACAUUGAGGCUCGAAAGUGUGGGUAUCAAACAGGAUUAGAUACCCUGGUAGUCCACACGGUAAACGAAGAAUACUCGCUGUUUGCGAUAUACGGCAAGCGGC